Molecule: ribosomal RNA, 421 nt
Filed under: uncultured bacterium
Lineage: Bacteria
Description: bacterial SSU rRNA
Rfam family: Bacterial small subunit ribosomal RNA
Source: RNAcentral
UAAGGAAUAUUGGUCAAUGGACGCAAGUCUGAACCAGCCAUGCCGCGUGAAGGAUGAAGGUCCUCUGGAUUGUAAACUUCUUUUAUCUGGGACGAAAACGGGAUUUUUAUCUCAAUUGACGGUACCAGAGGAAUAAGCACCGGCUAACUCCGUGCCAGCAGCCGCGGUAAUACGGAGGGUGCGAGCGUUAUCCGGAUUUACUGGGUUUAAAGGGUGCGUAGGUGGGCUUAUAAGUCAGUGGUGAAAUCUCCGAGCUUAACUUGGAAACUGCCGUUGAUACUAUAGGUCUUGAAUUAUCUGGAGGUAAGCGGAAUAUGUCAUGUAGCGGUGAAAUGCUUAGAUAUGACAUAGAACACCAAUUGCGAAGGCAGCUUGCUACAUAUAAAUUGACGCUGAGGCACGAAAGCGUGGGGAUCAAACA